This 2153-nucleotide long non-coding RNA is filed under the name Heterocephalus glaber (naked mole-rat). RNAcentral describes it as "lncRNA (ENSHGLG00100033925.1)". Lineage: Eukaryota; Metazoa; Chordata; Mammalia; Rodentia; Bathyergidae. The record is from RNAcentral.
GCUAGGCUCGGGUGGUGCAGACAUGUGGUCCUAGCUACUCAGGAGGGUGAAGUAAGAAGAUUGCUUGAUCUGAGUGGCUCAAGGCCAGUGAGAUUCUGACUCAAACAAGAGGAGGAAGAGAGUAAAGGCACGCACAAAUACACACUCAUUCCCGUCUCUUGCCAUGGAACAAAUGCCCUGUGCUGUCUCAGGACCUCAUCAACAAGGCCGUUACCAGAUGUGGCCCUUGACCUUGGACCAGAGCCAUGAGCCAAAAUAAACCUCUUUUAAAAAAUUAAAGUAUAGGGCCGGGAAGUUAGCUUAGUGGUUUGGCUGCCUGCUGUGCAAGUGCAAGGACCCGAGUUCAGUCCCUGGUACAAAAAAAUAAAAUAAAAUAAAGUACAAUUUAUGUACAGUAAAAUUCACCCCUUUGAGUAUACAUACAUAGCUUUGUGAGUUUUGACAAGUGUGUACAGCUCUGCAACUGCCACCACUACUGAGAUACAGAACUCACGAAUCCUACCCUGGAUAGGUUGCCCAGGGCCAUGGCAAAGUCUGCUGAGCCAUUACCUGGGAGCGAAGCCCGAGGCUCAGGAAUUCCCACCUUGCUCUCCAGGUUCACAUCCACUCACCUUCACACCAGCAGCACCUGAGAGCUGCCACACUCUCGUCCCAACCGGUAAAUCAUUUCUCUCUUACCAGGUGGUAUGAUUUUGGGGUACGGCAAACACAAUUAUAUAGCAAACAUGGUUUCUAAGUUGAGGGUGAUGGUGUGUUCCUGUAAUCCCAGCACUCUGAGAGGCUGAGGCAGGAGGAUCACAAGUUUGAACUCAGCCUGGGCAACUUGGCUAAUUAGUGAGACUUUCAAAAUAAAAAGACAAAAAGGGCUGGGAAUGAGGCUCAGUGCAAGGGCCCUGGGUUCAGUGUCCAGUAUCACACAUAGGAAGGGAGGGAGGAAAAGAAGAAAGGAGGAAGGAAAACAUCUGAUUUUUAAAGACUCCCUGCCUGGAACUGAACAUAGGCACCUACUUUGCACAGGCAAUAGAACUGUUGGUGAUGCAGAAAGCAGCCGAGACCGGGAGGCCCAUGGGCACCCGGAAUCUGGAAAGAAUCAGGAGGGGACAGUGGAGUCAUGAUGAAGUGGCUGGUUUGCAGCUGUGAAAAUCAUGCCUGGAGAGACUGACGGAGUGAGAUUCCUCUGUCUGUGGUUCAAAGGAGAUGGCUGUGGGACGGAAGGUAAGAAGAAUUCCCACCCUCCCCAUGCAGGAGUCUGUGUGACCGCCAAAAAGCUGGGGAACGGUGGCUCGGCCCCACCCAGUGACACUGGCAUGCAUGCCCCGGUGUGGAAGUGACCACAGCUGCCAGGCUCUGAGUCAGCGGGCCUGGGGCAGCAGAAGAGAAGGAGCCUCUCGUGCUCACGUGGCUGGGCCGGCGCUGCCUCGUGCAUUCUCCUGUCUCUCAGCCUGCAGGAAGCAUAGAUGUUUGAAAGGACGAAUCACACAUGGCCUUGUCCUGGAGCCCGGCCAGGACCACUUCCUCAAAGGGAGGCAACCACGAUCCACCCAGUUGCAGUCCCCCUUGCUUCUCAAAAGAAGUGCACCUCUUCUUCCUUUUAGUUUCUGCUUUGCUGUUUGAGAAGUGGCUAGAUAUGCUUCUCAAGGAGCAGGUCAGGAACCCACAGCCUGGGGUGCAGAGCCCACCCACCUGCCCGCCCCACAACCAGAAGCACCUGGCCUGGGCUGGACCCAUGUGGCCCCAGCUUCUAUAACAGCAUCACUGACGGGUUCUGGCUGGUGUGCAUUGGUGAGGUCCUCGAGAGGGAGCCCCUGUCUGCAGAGCUGUGUAAACUGGCUGGAGGCUGGUGCUGAUGUCUGGGAGAAGCAGUCAAGCUGAUCAUCUGGCUGCCCUCAGCAACCCAGGAGCCUACUGGGCUUGUGAGAAUGGAACUCAAGGCCACAGUCGAGCAGUAUCAGUCCCACACAGGCUCAGGGGAGGGCACAGGGGAUCCACAUGCAAGUUCCAGGCUGCCUACCACUGUGGGGCACGCCCACCCCAUUUGGUGGGAGUGUGAGGAAGAGAGGACCACGGAGAAGAGCAGGCUGGGGGUGGUAUGCAGUGAUGACAGGGCCUCUGCCCACAGGUAGGGAGAGGGAGGGGACAGGACAAGGUGUGGC